RNAcentral lists this transfer RNA (87 nucleotides) under uncultured archaeon. RNAcentral's name for it is "tRNA-Ser(tga)". It matches the Rfam family "tRNA". From Rfam's summary of the family: Transfer RNA (tRNA) molecules are approximately 80 nucleotides in length. Their secondary structure includes four short double-helical elements and three loops (D, anti-codon, and T loops). The record is from RNAcentral.
GGAUGAUUGCAGUCCAUGGGGGCUAGCAGUCUUGAAAACUGUGCCUACUGAAAGGUAGAGAGGGUUCGAUUCCUUCAUCAUCCGCCA